Molecule: ribosomal RNA, 334 nt
Filed under: uncultured bacterium
Lineage: Bacteria
Description: bacterial SSU rRNA
Rfam family: Bacterial small subunit ribosomal RNA
Source: RNAcentral
GGCGAACGCUGGCGGCGUGCCUAACACAUGCAAGUGGAGCGACGAACCAGGCUUCGGCCUGGGGCAAAGCCGCGAACGGGUGAGUAACACGUGGGUUACCUACCCCGAAGACCGGGAUAACCCGGGGAAACUCGGGCUAAUACCGGAUGUGCUCCGUCUGCUGCGGCAGGCGGUGGAAAGGAAGCUUCGGCCUCCGCUUCGGGAUGGGCCCGCGGCCCAUUAGCUAGUUGGUGAGGUAACGGCUCACCAAGGCGACGAUGGGUAGCUGGUCUGAGAGGAUGGCCAGCCACACUGGGACUGAGACACGGCCCAGACUCCUACGGGAGGCAGCAUG